UAGCUAGUUGGUAGGGUAAGAGCCUACCAAGGCGACGAUCGGUAGCUGGUCUGGGAGGAUGGCCAGCCACACUGGAACUGAGACACGGUCCAGACUCCUACGGGAGGCAGCAGUGGGGAAUAUUGGACAAUGGGGGCAACCCUGAUCCAGCAAUGCCGCGUGAGUGAAGAAGGCCUGAGGGUUGUAAAGCACUUUCAGUGGGGAGGAGGGUAUUUAGGUUAAGAGCUAGGAUACUGGACGUUACCCACAGAAGAAGCACCGGCUAACUCCGUGCCAGCAGCCGCGGUAAUACGGAGGGUGCGAGCGUUAAUCGGAAUAACUGGGCGUAAAGGGUGCGCAGGUGGUUAGAUAAGUUAUCUGUGAAAUCCCCGGGCUCAACCUGGGCAGGUCAGAUAAGACUGUUUGACUCGAGUAUAGGAGAGGGUAGUGGAAUUUCCGGUGUAGCGGUGAAAUGCGUAGAGAUCGGAAGGAACACCAGUGGCGAAGGCGGCUACCUGGCCUGAUACUGACACUGAGGCACGAAAGCGUGGGGAGCAAACAGGAUUAGAUACCCUGGUAGUCCACGCCGUAAACGAUGUCAACUAGCUGUUGGCCUUAUGAAUAAGGUUAGUGGCGC
This 616-nucleotide ribosomal RNA is filed under the name uncultured Legionella sp. Its description in RNAcentral is "bacterial SSU rRNA". It matches the Rfam family "Bacterial small subunit ribosomal RNA", at positions 242 to 849 of the family's 1533-position model. Lineage: Bacteria; Pseudomonadati; Pseudomonadota; Gammaproteobacteria; Legionellales; Legionellaceae. The record is from RNAcentral.